RNAcentral lists this ribosomal RNA (429 nucleotides) under Verrucomicrobiota bacterium. Its description in RNAcentral is "Verrucomicrobia bacterium partial 16S ribosomal RNA". It matches the Rfam family "Bacterial small subunit ribosomal RNA", at positions 355 to 776 of the family's 1533-position model. The record is from RNAcentral. Lineage: Bacteria; Pseudomonadati; Verrucomicrobiota.
UAGGGAAUCUUCCGCAAUGGACGAAAGUCUGGCGGAGCAACGCCGCGUGAGUGAAGAAGGCUUUCGGUUCGUAAAACUCUGUUGUUAGGGAAGAAAAAAUGUAUAGUAACUAUAUACAAAAGAGACGGUACCUAACCAGAAAGCCACGGCUAACUACGUGCCAGCAGCCGCGGUAAUACGUAGGUGGCAAGCGUUGUCCGGAAUUAUUGGGCGUAAAGCGCGCGCAGGUGGUUUAGAAAGUCUGAUGUGAAAGCCCACGGCUCAACCGUGGAGGGUCAUUGGAAACUAAUAAACUUGAGUGCAGGAGAGAAAAGUGGAAUUCCUAGUGUAGCGGUGAAAUGCGUAGAGAUUAGGAGGAACACCGGUGGCGAAAGCGGCUUUUUGGCCUGCAACUGACACUGAGGCGCGAAAGCGUGGGGAGCAAACAGG